UGGCUGGGAAGUUUCCAGGAAGUUCUCUCCUAUUGCCCACCGGUUCAUCUGGUGUAUAAAGUCUUUACUGAAUGUUCUAACAGCAAAGUACCUUAUGAUGAUGAUUGGUACCAAGUUACCAUAGUUCCUCUUGCUUUCAUUCAGUUAGUACCUUGGUUUGGUACAGGGUUGGUUUUGACAGGUAUAAUAUCGGUUUGGACAGGUACAGUAUAGGUUUGGACUGGUACACUGUUGAUUUGGAUGGGUAUAUGUCAGUUUGGACAGCUACAGUACUGGUUAGGACAUGUACAGUGCCGGUUUGGACAGGUACGGGAUCAGUUUGGACAGGUACAGUGCCGGUUUGAGCAUGUACAAGUAGGUUUGAUUGGGUAUAUGUUUGGGUUGGACAGGUCCAGGGUUGAUUUGGACAGAUACGGGAUCAGUUUUGACGAGUAUAGAGUUGGUUUGGACAGGUAUAGAGUUGGUUUGGACAUGUAUAGAGUUGGUUUGGACAUGUAUAGAGUUGGUUUGGAGAGGUAUAGAGUUGGUUUGGAGAGGUAUAGGGUUGGUUUGGACAUGUAAAAAGAUGGGGUUUUAGAGGGAUGGUUUGGACGGGUACUGGGUUUGGACAUGAUCACUGAUGAGAGGACUUCCAUCUGUUGAAACCUGAGCAUGUGGAAACUGUGUACAGCCACCCAGGUAACGGCAGUAACAUGAUCCAGGUGAGCUCUCGCUGGCAUCUGCUCCCUGAUCACACCAAAACACUCGCACGGCCACGCAGGACCAGCUUGACAUGCAGGACAACACACACACACACACACACACACACACACACACACACACACACACACACACACACACACACAGCUACAGGUCAAACGUUUAAACAGUAUGAUGUCAGGUUUUGAUGGGGGUGAUGAUCUGUGUAUGAUCUGUGGAUGCCACAUGUAGUAGGGUUUUGCAAAAAUUCACCAAAAAGUCAACAGAAAUGAAAACAAAAAAAUUGAAACGAAAAUAUCUCCAAAAUUUGUUUCAAGAUAUACUAUUGUACUGGUGUCCAGAACACUAACAGACAGAGUCUGAGUCUGCGACACCAAUUUUG
This is a long non-coding RNA of Ictalurus punctatus (channel catfish), 1081 nucleotides long. NCBI's taxonomy places the organism in Eukaryota, Metazoa, Chordata, Actinopteri, Siluriformes, Ictaluridae. The record is from Ensembl.